This is a non-coding RNA of Myotis brandtii (Brandt's bat), 71 nucleotides long. Lineage: Eukaryota; Metazoa; Chordata; Mammalia; Chiroptera; Vespertilionidae. The record is from Rfam.
GCCUGUGUGGUUCAGUGGUUGAGCGUCGGCCUGUGAACCAGGAGGUCAGGGUUCGAUUCCCGGUCAGGGCA